This 133-nucleotide ribosomal RNA is filed under the name uncultured bacterium. RNAcentral's name for it is "partial 16S ribosomal RNA". The record is from RNAcentral.
AGGUAACGUCAAGACCCACGGGUAUUAACCAUAGGCUUUUCUUCUCUACUGAAAGUGCUUUACAACCCGCAGGCCUUCUUCACACACGCGGCAUUGCUGGAUCAGGGUUGCCCCCAUUGUCCAAUAUUCCCCA